CUGCUGCCUUCCGUAGGAGUCUGGGCCGUAUCUCAGUCCCAAUGUGGCCGGCCAACCUCUCAGUCCGGCUACUGAUCGUCGCCUUGGUAGGCUGUUACCCUACCAACUAGCUAAUCAGACGCGAGUCCAUCUCUCAGCGAUAAAUCUUUGGUAUCCAUACCAUGCGAUACAGAUACGUUAUGCGGUAUUAGCAGUCGUUUCCAACUGUUGUCCCCCUCUGAAAGGCAGGUUACUCACGCGUUA
RNAcentral lists this ribosomal RNA (243 nucleotides) under uncultured bacterium. RNAcentral's name for it is "partial 16S ribosomal RNA". The record is from RNAcentral.